UAAUAUGAAAAAAUAAUUUUUAGUGGGAAGGACACUAACAUUGAUGAUUAUAAGAGACAAUAACAUUCUGAAAGAUAAAAGGAGAGACCCCCCUGACUUCGUCGUCUUCUUCAUCUUACCUCCCCUGCCGUUCUUCUUCUUCAGAAUAUCAACCUUCAAACAACCAGCCCCUCAAACCAGCGAGCUCUUCAUCUCUUCACGCUCAACAGCCUUCACCAUCCACUCGCCGGAACUCACGCGGACACACACAUGAAACACACACAUACACAGAGUUGUUCUUGUUCUUUUACUCAAAAGAGAGGUCUUGAGUUCUGUUCGUUGUCCUGUUCAUAUCCCCAUCUUUUUGAGGUUGUCCGGUCAAGCUCGGAUCGGGGAAACAGUUUGGUGCUCGAGGUUGCCGGUUUGAGGAUCGUCGUAUCGAAUUCCGGUCACAACUGUCUCUUGUUUCAGUCCGUGUAACUGUUGGAAUUUUUAUUAAUUGAAAGAAAUUUCAGGUUUAUUUUUCACUUUCAUGUAUUUAUUGGGUCAUAACUAAUUUUGAUAUACAUGUGUUUAUGUGGUAAUAGUAAUUUGGAUCUGUUCUCUUCGAUUCCGGAAUUGGUUCGCUGAGUAUCUUUAUCGACAUGUGAUGCUUGCUUUCACUGGUCUUCCCUCAUUUUACUUG
This 664-nucleotide long non-coding RNA is filed under the name Nicotiana tabacum (common tobacco). RNAcentral describes it as "long non-coding RNA (NTAB_LNC008397)". The record is from RNAcentral. Lineage: Eukaryota; Viridiplantae; Streptophyta; Magnoliopsida; Solanales; Solanaceae.